UACGUAGGUGGCAAGCGUUGUUCGGCAUUAUUGGGCGUCAAGGGCGCGUAGGCGGCUUGCUAAGUCGGUUGUGAAAGCCCGGGGCUCAACCCCGGAGAGUCGACCGAUACUGGCGAGCUAGAGUACGGAAGAGGUAGCUGGAAUUCCCGGUGUAGCGGUGAAAUGCGUAGAUAUCGAGAGGAACACCAGCGGCGAAGGCGGCUCACUGGGCUCCACCUGACGCUGAGGCGCGAAAGCGUGGGGAGCGAACCGG
Molecule: ribosomal RNA, 253 nt
Filed under: uncultured bacterium
Lineage: Bacteria
Description: partial 16S ribosomal RNA
Rfam family: Bacterial small subunit ribosomal RNA
Source: RNAcentral